RNAcentral lists this ribosomal RNA (1460 nucleotides) under uncultured organism. RNAcentral describes it as "SSU rRNA". It matches the Rfam family "Bacterial small subunit ribosomal RNA". The record is from RNAcentral.
CAGGACGAACGCUGGCGGCGUGCCUAAUACAUGCAAGUAGAACGCUGAAGAGGGGAGCUUGCUCUUCUUGGAUGGGUUGCGAACGGGUGAGUAACGCGUAGGUAACCUGCCUUGUAGCGGGGGAUAACUAUUGGAAACGAUAGCUAAUACCGCAUAACAAUGGAUGACACAUGUCAUUUAUUUGAAAGGGGCAAUUGCUCCACUACAAGAUGGACCUGCGUUGUAUUAGCUAGUAGGUGAGGUAAUGGCUCACCUAGGCGACGAUACAUAGCCGACCUGAGAGGGUGAUCGGCCACACUGGGACUGAGACACGGCCCAGACUCCUACGGGAGGCAGCAGUAGGGAAUCUUCGGCAAUGGGGGCAACCCUGACCGAGCAACGCCGCGUGAGUGAAGAAGGUUUUCGGAUCGUAAAGCUCUGUUGUAAGUCAAGAACGGGUGUGAGAGUGGAAAGUUCACACUGUGACAGUAGCUUACCAGAAAGGGACGGCUAACUACGUGCCAGCAGCCGCGGUAAUACGUAGGUCCCGAGCGUUGUCCGGAUUUAUUGGGCGUAAAGCGAGCGCAGGCGGUUUGAUAAGUCUGAAGUUAAAGGCUGUGGCUCAACCAUAGUUCGCUUUGGAAACUGUCAAACUUGAGUGCAGAAGGGGAGAGUGGAAUUCCAUGUGUAGCGGUGAAAUGCGUAGAUAUAUGGAGGAACACCGGUGGCGAAAGCGGCUCUCUGGUCUGUAACUGACGCUGAGGCUCGAAAGCGUGGGGAGCGAACAGGAUUAGAUACCCUGGUAGUCCACGCCGUAAACGAUGAGUGCUAGGUGUUGGAUCCUUUUCCGGGAUUCAGUGCCGCAGCUAACGCAUUAAGCACUCCGCCUGGGGGAGUACGUCCGCAAGGUUGAAACUCAAAGGAAUUGACGGGGGCCCCCACAAGCGGUGGAGCAUGUGGUUUAAUUCGAAGCAACGCGAAGAACCUUACCAGGUCUUGACAUCCCGAUGCUAUUUCUAGAGAUAGAAAGUUACUUCGGUACAUCGGUGACAGGUGGUGCAUGGUUGUCGUCAGCUCGUGUCGUGAGAUGUUGGGUUAAGUCCCGCAACGAGCGCAACCCCUAUUGUUAGUUGCCAUCAUUCAGUUGGGCACUCUAGCGAGACUGCCGGUAAUAAACCGGAGGAAGGUGGGGAUGACGUCAAAUCAUCAUGCCCCUUAUGACCUGGGCUACGCACGUGCUACAAUGGUUGGUACAACGAGUUGCGAGUCGGUGACGGCGAGCUAAUCUCUUAAAGCCAAUCUCAGUUCGGAUUGUAGGCUGCAACUCGCCUACAUGAAGUCGGAAUCGCUAGUAAUCGCGGAUCAGCACGCCGCGGUGAAUACGUUCCCGGGCCUUGUACACACCGCCCGUCACACCACGAGAGUUUGUAACACCCGAAGUCGGUGAGGUAACCUUUUGGAGCCAGCCGCCUAAGGUGGGA